RNAcentral lists this ribosomal RNA (342 nucleotides) under uncultured Leptolinea sp. RNAcentral describes it as "bacterial SSU rRNA". It matches the Rfam family "Bacterial small subunit ribosomal RNA", at positions 1027 to 1382 of the family's 1533-position model. Lineage: Bacteria; Bacillati; Chloroflexota; Anaerolineae; Anaerolineales; Anaerolineaceae. The record is from RNAcentral.
GGCUUGCACAGGUGCUGCAUGGCUGUCGUCAGCUCGUGUCGUGAGAUGUUCGAUUAAGUCCGCUAACGAGCGCAACCCUCGCUGUGUGUUAUAUGUGUCACACGGGACUGCCGGUCUUUAAGCCGGAGGAAGGUGGGGAUGAUGUCAAGUCAGCAUGGCCUUUAUAUCCUGGGCUACACACACGCUACAAUGGCCAACACAAUAGGUUGCUAAGCCGCGAGGUGGCGCCAAUCCAUAAAGUUGGUCUCAGUUCAGAUUGUAGGCUGCAACCCGCCUGCAUGAAGAUGGAGUUGCUAGUAACCGCAGGUCAGCUAUACUGCGGUGAAUACGUUCCCGGGGCUU